AUAAAAAUAAAUAAAUAAAUGUAGGCAUUCUAGAAAACAGUCUGGCAACUCCUCAAAAAGUUAAACAAGAGUUACCAUAUGACCCAGCACUUCUGCUCCUAGGUAUACAUCUAAGGGAAAUUAAAACAUAUAUGUUCAUAUAAAUACUCAAAAAUAUUCAUAGCAGUAUUAUAUGUAAUAGCCAAAAGGUGAAAACAACCCAAACAUCAAUCAAUAGAUGAAUGAAUAAGCAAAAUAUGGUAUAUUCAUACAACAGGAUUUUUUUUUUUCUUUUUUCUUUUCUUUGAGAUGGAGUCUCGCUCUGUC
RNAcentral lists this long non-coding RNA (306 nucleotides) under Homo sapiens (human). RNAcentral describes it as "HSALNT0138156". Lineage: Eukaryota; Metazoa; Chordata; Mammalia; Primates; Hominidae. The record is from RNAcentral.